GUAGUUCGAUCCUGGCUACGAGGACACGCUGGCGGCGUGCUUAACACAUGCAAGUCGAACGGAGUGCCUCGGAAAGAGAUUUCGGUCAAUGGAAGAGGUUACUUAGUGGCGGACGGGUGAGUAACGCGUGAGGAACCUGCCUUUCAGAGGGGGACAACAGCUGGAAACGGCUGCUAAUACCGCAUAACAUAUAGGUAUCGCAUGGUGCCUAUAUCAAAGAUUUAUCGCUGAAAGAUGGCCUCGCGUCUGAUUAGCUAGUUGGUAGGGUAACGGCCUACCAAGGCGACGAUCAGUAGCCGGACUGAGAGGUUGGCCGGCCACAUUGGGACUGAGAUACGGCCCAGACUCCUACGGGAGGCAGCAGUGGGGAAUAUUGGGCAAUGGGGCGCAAGCCUGACCCAGCAACGCCGCGUGAAGGAAGAAGGCUUUCGGGUUGUAAACUUCUUUUAAGAGGGAAGAGUAGAAGACGGUACCUCUUGAAUAAGCCACGGCUAACUACGUG
Molecule: ribosomal RNA, 502 nt
Filed under: uncultured Oscillibacter sp.
Lineage: Bacteria; Bacillati; Bacillota; Clostridia; Eubacteriales; Oscillospiraceae
Description: bacterial SSU rRNA
Rfam family: Bacterial small subunit ribosomal RNA
Source: RNAcentral